Molecule: ribosomal RNA, 324 nt
Filed under: uncultured bacterium
Lineage: Bacteria
Description: bacterial SSU rRNA
Rfam family: Bacterial small subunit ribosomal RNA
Source: RNAcentral
GAUGAACGCUAGCGACAGGCCUAACACAUGCAAGUCGAGGGGUAACAGGGAGCUUGCUCCGCUGACGACCGGCGGACGGGUGAGUAACGCGUAUGCAACCUUCCCACAGGAUCGGGAUAGCCCUCCGAAAGGAGGAUUAACACCGGAUGUGGUAAUUUAGAGGCAUCUUUAGAUUACUAAAUGCGAAGCUUGUGGAUGGGCAUGCGUGACAUUAGCUAGUUGCGGGGUAACGCCCACCAAGGCGACGAUGUCUAGGGGUUCUGAGAGGAAGGUCCCCCANACUGGUACUGAGACACGGACCAGACUCCUACGGGAGGCAGCAGU